Long non-coding RNA from Ceratosolen solmsi marchali, 402 nucleotides. RefSeq lists it as uncharacterized. Lineage: Eukaryota; Metazoa; Arthropoda; Insecta; Hymenoptera; Agaonidae. The record is from RefSeq and is a predicted model, not a curated record. The transcript is spliced from 3 exons.
UGAAAUGUAAUAAGCAUUUUGACGUGAUUUGGAACGGUUACUCGUGGAUGGAGCUGAAUUUGAAAGAGAAAAAUAAGAAGGAUUAGUUCUCCUUGGGUAAAUUGGAAGGAUAAAGGUAAUUUCUUAGAAACCGAAGGAAAUACAAGAUAACGGAUAGAGAUGUGAGACAUAAUGACUUCGUCCGAGGGUAAGAAAAGGUUUUCGCAUAUUAACGUUGCAAUUCAUUAAAAUAACACAUAGCAUGUCUUAUGUUAAGUACGUGAUUUUUGUUGUUACAUCAUUUCAUAAUGAAUCACAACAUUCGAGCAUUAAUACAAGGUCAAUAUAUAGCACUAUACAGCGUAGAGGAAUUUUUUCAAUAUUAAAUUCAUGUAUAAAUGCGUCGUCACGUAAUUUUUGGUA